GAUGAACGCUGACAGAAUGCUUAACACAUGCAAGUCUUUGGCGAAGCUGUGCUUGCACAGCCUAGCCAAGGCGGACGGGUGAGUACGCGUAAGGAACUUGCCCUGCAGUCAGGGAUAACAGACGGAAACGACUGAUAAGACCUGGUAAAGUCAGGCGGACUCAUGUCCAGCCUGAUGAAAAGAGAUGCUGCAGGAGAGCCUUGCGUCCUAUUAGCUUGUUGGUGGGGUAACGGCCCACCAAGGCGAUGAUAGGUAGCCGGCCUGAGAGGGUGGACGGCCACAAGGGGACUGAGAUACGGCCCUUACUCCUACGGGAGGCAGCAGUGGGGAAUAUUGGACAAUGGGGGCAACCCUGAUCCAGCAAUUCUGUGUGCACGAUGAAGGUUUUCGGAUUGUAAAGUGCUUUCAGCAGGGAAGAAAAAAUGACGGUACCUGCAGAAGAAGCGACGGCUAAAUACGUG
RNAcentral lists this ribosomal RNA (461 nucleotides) under uncultured bacterium. RNAcentral describes it as "partial 16S ribosomal RNA". It matches the Rfam family "Bacterial small subunit ribosomal RNA", at positions 28 to 507 of the family's 1533-position model. The record is from RNAcentral.